This 226-nucleotide long non-coding RNA is filed under the name Gallus gallus (chicken). Lineage: Eukaryota; Metazoa; Chordata; Aves; Galliformes; Phasianidae. The record is from RNAcentral.
UGUAAAUAAAGCAACUGAUAGCCAUAUGUUCUUACUGCAACUAAGUUUUAAAACAGAAAAAAAAAUCCAAAUAAUAUUUGCAUGCACACACCAUUGACAUGGAAUAUUUUUCUUUGGAGAUGUGCAAGUAGCAAAAGUAUUCCUCUCCGCUAAGCGCCUCGGCCCCUUGGAUAAAUUCUGAUUUCAUGAGAACUGGGAGGUGGUGUGGUGGGAGGAGGAAGCACAA